GUUUAUCUAAUAUAUUAGUAUAUUUGACUUCCAAUCAAAAAGUUUGUUUACUUAACAAGAUAAAUA
RNAcentral lists this transfer RNA (66 nucleotides) under Archimandrita tessellata. Its description in RNAcentral is "tRNA-Gly". The record is from RNAcentral. Lineage: Eukaryota; Metazoa; Arthropoda; Insecta; Blattodea; Blaberidae.